This 75-nucleotide transfer RNA is filed under the name Luoshenia tenuis. Its description in RNAcentral is "tRNA-Trp". It matches the Rfam family "tRNA". From Rfam's summary of the family: Transfer RNA (tRNA) molecules are approximately 80 nucleotides in length. RNAcentral also lists the same sequence under 1 other name. The record is from RNAcentral. Lineage: Bacteria; Bacillati; Bacillota; Clostridia; Christensenellales; Christensenellaceae.
AGGGGCAUGAUGUAAUUGGUAACAUGGCAGUCUCCAAAACUGCUCUCGAGGGUUCGAGUCCUUCUGCCCCUGCCA